CCUACGGGAGGCUGCAGUGGGGAAUAUUGCACAAUGGGCGCAAGCCUGAUGCAGCCAUGCCGCGUGUGUGAAGAAGGCCUUCGGGUUGUAAAGCACUUUCAGCGGGGAGGAAGGCGGUGAGGUUAAUAACCUCACCGAUUGACGUUACCCGCAGAAGAAGCACCGGCUAACUCCGUGCCAGUAGCCGCGGUAAUACGGAGGGUGCAAGCGUUAAUCGGAAUUACUGGGCGUAAAGCGCACGCAGGCGGUCUGUCAAGUCGGAUGUGAAAUCCCCGGGCUCAACCUGGGAACUGCAUUCGAAACUGGCAGGCUAGAGUCUUGUAGAGGGGGGUAGAAUUCCAGGGGUAGCGGUGAAAUGCGUAGAGAUCUGGAGGAAUACCGGUGGCGAAGGCGGCCCCCUGGACAAAGACUGACGCUCAGGUGCGAAAGCGUGGGGAGCAAACAGGAUUAGAACCCCAGUAGUC
This 464-nucleotide ribosomal RNA is filed under the name uncultured Klebsiella sp. Its description in RNAcentral is "bacterial SSU rRNA". It matches the Rfam family "Bacterial small subunit ribosomal RNA", at positions 338 to 795 of the family's 1533-position model. The record is from RNAcentral. Lineage: Bacteria; Pseudomonadati; Pseudomonadota; Gammaproteobacteria; Enterobacterales; Enterobacteriaceae.